Ribosomal RNA from Oncorhynchus mykiss (rainbow trout), 119 nucleotides. The record is from Ensembl. NCBI's taxonomy places the organism in Eukaryota, Metazoa, Chordata, Actinopteri, Salmoniformes, Salmonidae.
GCUUACGGCCACACCGGCCUGAGUACGCCUGAUCUCGUCCGAUCUCGGAAGCUAAGCAGGGUCGGGCCUGGUUAGUACUUGGAUGUGAGACCGCCUGGGAAUACCAGGUGCUGUAAGCU